This 449-nucleotide ribosomal RNA is filed under the name uncultured bacterium. RNAcentral describes it as "partial 16S ribosomal RNA". It matches the Rfam family "Bacterial small subunit ribosomal RNA", at positions 29 to 523 of the family's 1533-position model. The record is from RNAcentral.
AGCGAACGCUGGCGGCAUGCCUAACACAUGCAAGUCGAACGAGAUCUUCGGGUCUAGUGGCGCACGGGUGCGUAACGCGUGGGAAUCUGCCCUUUGGUUCGGAAUAACAGUUGGAAACGACUGCUAAUACCGGAUGAUGACGAAAGUCCAAAGAUUUAUCGCCAGAGGAUGAUCCCGCGUAGGAUUAGCUAGUUGGUGUGGUAAAGGCGCACCAAGGCGACGAUCCUUAGCUGGUCUGAGAGGAUGAUCAGCCACACUGGGACUGAGACACGGACCAGACUCCUACGGGAGGAAGCAGUGGGGAAUAUUGGACAAUGGGCGAAAGCCUGAUCCAGCAAUGCCGCGUGAGUGAUGAAGGCCUUAGGGUUGUAAAGCUCUUUUACCCGGGAUGAUAAUGACAGUACCGGGAGAAUAAGCUCCGGCUAACUCCGUGCCAGCCGCCGCCGUAA